AGGUUAGAAUUACAAACCUAGGGUUUCAAUUAGUGUUUCAAUUGUUUAUUGUUUCAACCUAGAAUUAGUGUUUCAAUUGAUUAUUUAACAUUGUAUUUUAUAGAAACCUAGGGUUUAGAUUGUAUUUAUCAUUUUUUAACAUUUUAUAGAAAUUCAGGGUUUAGGGUAUGGGUUGAAUAUUUAGGCUAGGCUUUAUUGAGUAUUUCUCCUUCAAUAUUUUAGUAAGCAAUAGAUACUAAUUUAACGUCAAAGACUUGAUUCAUAGGUAUAUAUAUAUAUUAGGGUAUAAAUUGAACUUUUAGUUUAAUCUUGAUUAGUUUAUAGGUAGAUAUUUAAUAUAGACACAUGAUAGUAUAUUUGGAUUUUCUCUUAAAGUUCAAGACAAUGUUAAUGUUUAAGGCCUUAAGCGAAUCGUUGCGUGGCUCUUGUUUGAGUACAACGAGUCGCCCACUUUUAGGAUAUAAAUUGAACUUUUAGUUUAAGUUUAAACUCGUAGGAUACGAAUAUAACUUUUAGGAUAUAAAUUGAAGCUUUUAUGUAUGAGUUGAACCGUUAGGAUAUGACUUGAACUUUUGUGGAUAUAAAUUGAACCUUUUAGGAUAUGAGUUGAAUUUUUAGGAUAUGAAUUGAACCUUUUAGGUAUGAGUUGAAGCUUUUAGGAUAUAAAUUGAACUUUUAGUUUAAGUAGGAUAUGAAUAUAACAUUUAGGAUAUAAAUUGAAGCUUUUAUGUAUGAGUUGAACCUUUAGGAUAUGACUUGAACUUUUGUGGAUAUGAAUUGAAGCAUUUAUGUAUGAGUUGAACCUUUAAAUCCAAAUCACUAAACUCGAUCAUCAGUUGACCUCAAACUAAAUCAAACAACAUCAUAACCAAGAUGAAUGAUUCAUACUAAAUCAAAAACUAAAAGACCAACACAUAAACACUCCCAUUAAAUCACUUGAUGAAAAACUAACGAACCUCGUAGGAUAUGAAUAUAACUUUUAGGAUAUAAAACUGAAGCUUUUAUGUAUGAGUUGAACCGUUAGGAUAUGACUUGAACUUUUGUGGAUAUAAAUUGAACCUUUUAGGAUAUGAGUUGAAUUUUUAGGAUAUGAGUUGAAUUUUUAGGAUAUGAAUUGAACCUUUUAGGUAUGAGUUGAAGCUUUUAGGAUAUAAAUUGAACUUUUAGUUUAAGUUUAAACUCGUAGGAUAUGAAUAUAACUUUUAGGAUAUAAA
This 1214-nucleotide long non-coding RNA is filed under the name Nicotiana tabacum (common tobacco). RNAcentral's name for it is "long non-coding RNA (NTAB_LNC018302)". Lineage: Eukaryota; Viridiplantae; Streptophyta; Magnoliopsida; Solanales; Solanaceae. The record is from RNAcentral.